This 283-nucleotide long non-coding RNA is filed under the name Salvia miltiorrhiza (redroot sage). Its description in RNAcentral is "long non-coding RNA (SMIL_LNC010550)". The record is from RNAcentral. Lineage: Eukaryota; Viridiplantae; Streptophyta; Magnoliopsida; Lamiales; Lamiaceae.
GACAAUGUUUAGAAAAGAAUUAAAAUAUAGAAAAAAAAUUAGAAAUAGUGAUAAAAAUUGAUGGGAGAAGAGAGAGAAAAAAGAAAGGAAAGAAAUAGAACUCUUUUUUUAUAUAAUAUAUAGAUUAUACACAUUUUAGAAAGAAAAAAAAAGAAAUUGGUAAAGUAUCAUGUUUUUAAAGUGAGCUAAGAAACUAAACCGUAUUUGGAUAAAUUGGAUGAGUGUCCGAAAAUAUGGGAUUAUAGUUGGAAAAGAAAAAAACUAAUUUUUUAAAAUUUGGCGG